AGCAAAUUCACAUUUUGACUGACUGUAUUUACUACCUCAGUACUAACCCCAAGGCCAAAGAUGCUUGUGUAUGUGUCUGCAAGUACUAAAGAGUGAGACUCUCUUGACGGAGAUGGCACAUGGCCCUUUUUCUACAAUUUUUCCAUUGGAAAUGGGAAUGUGCACCAGAGAACAAUGGAAAAUUAGUUCUAUCUACAAAAACAACAUUAAAACAUGGAUUGUGUGAUGCUGGAAGCAGUCUUUGUGGUGGUGCAUGUUUUGGAAAGCUCUGAAGAACGUGUGUAGCUAUUUCAGUGUUUUGUCUGCUUGGAAACAAACCAUCGGGGCCUCCUCAUGGAAUUCCCCCGGAACUGAGCUGAGCUCACACAUCUGUCACAGUGCAGCUGGCAUCAUCCAGACCCUGAGAGUACUUGGGGUACAACUUCCUGGAGCAAGAGAAUUCACUUUAGAGGGACAGAGUGGCCUUUCUUUUUUCAGUAAAAACAAGCAAUUGCCUCAAUCAAUGCCAAAGCACUACCGGUACAGGAACUGAGGGGGAUCAGAAGCAGCAAGAGCAAAGCUGCUUCUGUUCCCUCUUGCUAUUUCCUAUUGUCUAUUUAUAUUUUUUUCACAGCAGAAUGUAUAUUUUGUAUAGCAUAUGUAAUAUAUGUUUGUCCAUUGUAAUAUAUGUCCAAACAAUAAAAUGCUGUAUACAUUGAGCA
Molecule: long non-coding RNA, 701 nt
Filed under: Zonotrichia albicollis (white-throated sparrow)
Lineage: Eukaryota; Metazoa; Chordata; Aves; Passeriformes; Passerellidae
Description: lncRNA (ENSZALG00000015044.1)
Source: RNAcentral